Molecule: ribosomal RNA, 506 nt
Filed under: uncultured bacterium
Lineage: Bacteria
Description: partial 16S ribosomal RNA
Rfam family: Bacterial small subunit ribosomal RNA
Source: RNAcentral
AUUGAACGCUGGCGGCAGGCCUAACACAUGCAAGUCGAACGGUAACAGGAAGCAGCUUGCUGCUUUGCUGACGAGUGGCGGACGAGUGAGUAAUGUCUGGGAAACUGCCUGAUGGAGGGGGAUAACUACUGGAAACGGUAGCUAAUACCGCAUAACGUCGCAAGACCAAAGAGGGGGACCUUCGGGCCUCUUGCCAUCGGAUGUGCCCAGAUGGGAUUAGCUAGUAGGUGGGGUAACGGCUCACCUAGGCGACGAUCCCUAGCUGGUCUGAGAGGAUGACCAGCCACACUGGAACUGAGACACGGUCCAGACUCCUACGGGAGGCAGCAGUGGGGAAUAUUGCACAAUGGGCGCAAGCCUGAUGCAGCCAUGCCGCGUGUAUGAAGAAGGCCUUCGGGUUGUAAAGUACUUUCAGCGGGGAGGAAGGUGUUGAGGUUAAUAACCUCAGCAAUUGACGUUACCCGCAGAAGAAGCACCGGCUAACUCCGUGCCAGCCGCCGCCGUAA